CCUACGGGUGGCAGCAGUGGGGAAUAUUGCACAAUGGGGGAAACCCUGAUGCAGCAACGCCGCGUGAAGGAAGACGGUUUUCGGAUUGUAAACUUCUGUUCUUAGUGAAGAAUAGUGACGGUAGCUAAUGGACAAGCCCCCGCCCACUACGUUCCAGCAGCCGCGGUAAUACGGUGGUGGCAAGCCUUUUCCGGAAUUACUGGGUGUAAAGGGGCGGCAGGCGGGAAGGUAAGUCAGCUGUGAAAUCUACGGGCUUAACUUGUAGACUGCAGUUGAAACUGGUUUUCUUGAGUGAAGGAGAGGUCGGCGGAAUUCCGAGUGUAGCGGUGAAAUGCGUAGAUAUACGGAGGAACACCGGUGGCGAAGGCGGCCAACUGGGCUGUAACUGACGCUGAGGCGCGAAAGUGUGGGGAGCAAACAGGAUUAGAUACCCCUGUAGUC
RNAcentral lists this ribosomal RNA (441 nucleotides) under uncultured bacterium. RNAcentral describes it as "partial 16S ribosomal RNA". It matches the Rfam family "Bacterial small subunit ribosomal RNA", at positions 338 to 795 of the family's 1533-position model. The record is from RNAcentral.